This 76-nucleotide transfer RNA is filed under the name Candidatus Eisenbacteria bacterium RBG_16_71_46. RNAcentral's name for it is "tRNA-Ala". It matches the Rfam family "tRNA". From Rfam's summary of the family: Transfer RNA (tRNA) molecules are approximately 80 nucleotides in length. Their secondary structure includes four short double-helical elements and three loops (D, anti-codon, and T loops). The record is from RNAcentral. RNAcentral also lists the same sequence under 12 other names. Lineage: Bacteria; Candidatus Eiseniibacteriota.
GGGGAUGUAGCUCAGCUGGGAGAGCACCUCGUUCGCAACGAGGGGGUCGGCGGUUCGAAUCCGCUCAUCUCCACCA